This 422-nucleotide ribosomal RNA is filed under the name uncultured cyanobacterium. RNAcentral describes it as "bacterial SSU rRNA". It matches the Rfam family "Bacterial small subunit ribosomal RNA", at positions 358 to 795 of the family's 1533-position model. Lineage: Bacteria; Bacillati; Cyanobacteriota. The record is from RNAcentral.
GGAAUUUUCCGCAAUGGGCGAAAGCCUGACGGAGCAACGCCGCGUGAGGGAUGAAGGCCUCUGGGCUGUAAACCUCUUUUAUCAAGGAAGAAGAUCUGACGGUACUUGAUGAAUAAGCCACGGCUAAUUCCGUGCCAGCAGCCGCGGUAAUACGGGAGUGGCAAGCGUUAUCCGGAAUUAUUGGGCGUAAAGCGUCCGCAGGCGGUCUUGUAAGUCUGUUGUUAAAGCGUGGAGCUUAACUCCAUUUCAGCAAUGGAAACUGCAAGACUAGAGUGUGGUAGGGGCAGAGGGAAUUCCCGGUGUAGCGGUGAAAUGCGUAGAUAUCGGGAAGAACACCAGUGGCGAAGGCGCUCUGCUGGGCCAUAACUGACGCUCAUGGACGAAAGCCAGGGGAGCGAAAGGGAUUAGAUACCCCAGUAGUC